UUCACAAAAAUUUAAACAUCUCAUAAAAUAUAACUCAUAUACCUGUUUUGUUCCAUUCAUAUGAAAAUAGACUCAUUAUUCUUUAAUUACAUAUUUUAUUCAUCAUCUAAUCAUAUCUCUACUAUUUUUAAUGAUUUUUCAAACUCACGUCACUGCUGCUGUCUUAAUCUAUUUUAUGGUAAAUUUUACCUAUUUCAUGGUUUCCAUGGAUUAGCUAGUAAUUUGACAUACAUAAAACCAAAUAUGAUCAUGAUUAGCCAUUCCAAUGGCUAAUCAUUACCAAGCAUUUCCACACCACUCAAUAACCAUAUCAUAAGACCAUAUAUACAAAAUGAUUACAAUGCUAUACAUGCCAUACUCAAAAUAUACAAGCCAUUAUGCCAAGAUGGUAUACGGAUAGUGUGAGCGAGCCUCCGACCGUUCCCGAUUUCCUAGCUGGCUUGUCAAAACUACAAGGAAUAAAAAGGAGGGAGUAAGCAUAAAUGCUUAAUAAGUUCACAUGCAAAAAGCAAGUAACAUAACCAUAUAAGCAAACAUAAAACAUCAUUUGCAUAAUCAUCACCAAGACAUUCAUAUCACAUUUUCAUUUAUCAUCUUACCAUAUUGUUGUUAUAUCGAUUUUUCAACCCGAGGGUUAAGUACAUACCUGUUCAAAGUACCCAUUUCACAACACUUACCAAUACGUCCCUUUCAUCUUGAGUAUUCCUCCAUUUUAGUAGAACUUUACCCGUUGAACACAUCGGAAUAUAAUUCGGAUACAUGGAAAGUUUGCACAUAUGUAGCCAAGCUACCAUAUAACCCGCCCAUAAGCGAACUCGGACUCAACUCAACGAGCUCGGGUGUUCGCAUCCAUAAAUGAACUCAGACUCAACUCAACGAGCUCGGAUGCCUAGUUACAUCUGACGAACUCGGACUCAACUCAACGAGUUCGGACGCUCGCAUCCAUAAGUGAACUCGGACUCAACUCAACGAGUUCGGAUGCCCAAAUAUCCCAGUGACAUGUCACUUGUAUCCUAAUCUAUUCCUAAGGUUCAAACGGGAUUUUUUCCUCGAUCUCACAUCUUUGCCGUCUUCCACGGAAUAUCGAAAUCGAUACUUCGGUGAUAGUUCAUACUCAUCAAGUAAUUCACAUAAUUACAUAUUAUUCAACAAUAACCACAAAGCAUAAUAUUUCAUGAUAAUAAUCAGCAUCAUAUCAUAUAAACAACAUUAAAUUGAUUAAAAUGACAAUUAUGUUACUACAUUUACACAUGAACUUACCUCGUAUGCGAAAAUGACUACUUUUACCAUUUCGUCCACAACUUGGUAUUUUCCCCAUUUUAGCCCGAAUUUCAGUUUUCCUUGCUCUAUCAUUUAAAAUAUAGUCUAAUUAGGACUCACAUUAUUCAAAUUGACCCAAAAUCAUAUUUUGUAAAAAUUAUAAUUUUGCCCCUAAACUUUUGCAUAUUUACACUUUUGCCCUAAAGCUCGUAAAUUAAACUUCAGCCUAUUUUCUUUUGUUUUAUGACAUGCUGAUCAUUUUUCCCUUCUAUGGCAACAUCAAAUUCUCACUCUAACAUGUACUUAUGACUAUUAGGUAUUUUUACCGAUUAAGCCCUUUUGCUCGUUUUCACUUAAAACCGAGUAGCACAAGUUGUCUAACAUAAUUUAAAACCUCAUAUUCUAUCAUAAAACACCAAAAUACACAAAUUUCACCUAUGGGUAUUUUUCCAAAUAUAAACCCUAGGUUAAAUUAUUGCUAGCAUAAGCUAAAUCGAGCUACCGGGACUUCAAAAACGUAAAAAUCAUUAAAAACGAGGCUAGAACGGACUUACAAUCGAGCUUGGAAGCUUGAAAAACCCUAGCCAUGGUUUCUCCUUGCUAUAUUCGGC
RNAcentral lists this long non-coding RNA (1871 nucleotides) under Gossypium barbadense (sea-island cotton). Its description in RNAcentral is "long non-coding RNA (GBAR_LNC005200)". Lineage: Eukaryota; Viridiplantae; Streptophyta; Magnoliopsida; Malvales; Malvaceae. The record is from RNAcentral.